RNAcentral lists this long non-coding RNA (802 nucleotides) under Musa acuminata (dwarf banana). Its description in RNAcentral is "long non-coding RNA (MACU_LNC004279)". Lineage: Eukaryota; Viridiplantae; Streptophyta; Magnoliopsida; Zingiberales; Musaceae. The record is from RNAcentral.
AAUCAACCGCACACCAAUUUGGACCAUCUGCAGUGGGGAAAACCAUCAAACUGCGACGGUUUCGUCACCCAUGGUUUGUGUACCCGCACACAUGUCUUCCUCUUCCAAUGGUCUGAGACGAAGUCCCACAAGGCCGCACAUCCCCAUCUAAUUAAAAGCAGCGACACAAGACAUCAGAAUCAGUGUGCUCUCCGUUGGCCGAUGAAUAACCACCAACUUCUUCAUGCUAUUUAUGCCCCCAAUCUCACCUUUAUCUUCGUCUCAUCGCCUCCAGCUCAAACUCAGAUCUCGACAUGGCUUCCCUUGUUCUCAUCCUGGCGGAGCUCCUGCGGCCGGAAAAGGCCAAGCUGCUCACCGCCGCCGCCAACUGCCCGCCCAGCACUCGCUUUUCUCGUGAUGUCGUUGCUGCUGCUGGUGCUGCCGCCGGGAGAGGAAGGAGCGACAGGUGCAGAAGGACGAGAUCGUCUUCUGAGAUCGACAGCAGCGUCGAUGCGUUCGAGGAGGAUCCCACCGAGGCGAAGGUCUCCGUGGAAUCCAUUUGGUUUUAGACUUCUUGUUCCGAGUGACGGUGGCUGUAAAUGGUGGUUGGUGUCUUUGAUUUUUGAGUGUCGUGUAGCUCUUUGAAUCCAUCGCUCGAUGAACAGCUUGUGGACCUGUAAAAAUUAGAUGGAUGUGUUUAUAUCAUUUUCAAGUCCUUUCAGAUUCUGAAUUCGUGAUGAUUUUGGGCCAUUGUGACGUUCGUGAUGUACUUAUUAUUAUUAUUAUUAUUAUUAUUAUUAUUAUUAUCUAAUAAGAGAGAGCA